GCUUGCGCAAGGUACUCGAGUGGCGAACGGGUGAGUAACACGUGGGUGAUCUGCCCUGCACUGUGGGAUAAGCCUGGGAAACUGGGUCUAAUACCAUAUAGGACCGCAUCUUGGAUGGUGUGGUGGAAAGCUUUUGCGGUGUGGGAUGAGCCUGCGGCCUAUCAGCUUGUUGGUGGGGUAAUGGCCUACCAAGGCGGCGACGGGUAUCCGGCCUGAGAGGGUGUACGGACACAUUGGGACUGAGAUACGGCCCAGACUCCUACGGGAGGCAGCAGUGGGGAAUAUUGCACAAUGGGCGCAAGCCUGAUGCAGCGACGCCGCGUGGGGGAUGAAGGCCUUCGGGUUGUAAACUCCUUUCGCUAUCGACGAAGCCACUUGUGGUGACGGUAGGUAGAUAAGAAGCACCGGCUAACUACGUGCCAGCAGCCGCGGUAAUACGUAGGGUGCAAGCGUUGUCCGGAAUUACUGGGCGUAAAGAGCUC
Molecule: ribosomal RNA, 482 nt
Filed under: bacterium 4BL
Lineage: Bacteria
Description: bacterial SSU rRNA
Rfam family: Bacterial small subunit ribosomal RNA
Source: RNAcentral